RNAcentral lists this ribosomal RNA (501 nucleotides) under uncultured bacterium. Its description in RNAcentral is "partial 16S ribosomal RNA". It matches the Rfam family "Bacterial small subunit ribosomal RNA", at positions 899 to 1397 of the family's 1533-position model. The record is from RNAcentral.
ACUCAAAGGAAUAGACGGGGGCCCGCACAAGCGGUGGAGCAUGUGGAUUAAUACGUCACUAACCGUAGAACCUUACCCAGGCUUGACAUCCCGAGGAUCCCUCUGAAAGGAGGGAGUGCUUCGCAAGAAGAGCUCGGAGACAGGUGUUGCAUGGCUGUCGUCAGCUCGUGUCGUGAGAUGUUGGGUUAAGUCCCGCAACGAGCGCAACCCUCACCGUAUGUUGCCAGCGUAAAGUCGGGCACUCUUACGGAACUGCCCGGGUAACCGGGAGGAAGGUGGGGAUGACGUCAAGUCAGCAUGGCCCUUACGCCUGGGGCUUCACACAUGCUACAAUGGCCGGUACAGAGGGCACCGAUACCGUGAGGUGGAGGCAAUCCCAAAAAGCCGGUCUCAGUUCGGAUUGCAGGCUGCAACUCGCCUGCAUGAAGUCGGAAUCGCUAGUAACCGCCGGUCAGCUAAACGGCGGUGAAUACGUUCCCGGGCCUUGUACACACCGCCCGU